Molecule: non-coding RNA, 89 nt
Filed under: Falsiruegeria litorea R37
Lineage: Bacteria; Pseudomonadati; Pseudomonadota; Alphaproteobacteria; Rhodobacterales; Roseobacteraceae
Also listed under: 1 other name
Description: Tropicibacter litoreus R37 Glycine riboswitch aptamer
Rfam family: Glycine riboswitch aptamer
About the family: This family represents the bacterial glycine riboswitch.
Source: Rfam by way of RNAcentral
CUCAUGCACGCGGGAGAACUGGCGCAAAGCUGGUGCCGAAGGAGCAACCGCCCCGGAAACUCUCAGGCCAAAAGGACCGUGUGCCAAAG